GUGGGGUUGUGGCUCAGUGGUAGAGCACUUGCCUAGCAUGCACGGGGCCCUGGGUUCGAUCCUCAGCACCACA
RNAcentral lists this transfer RNA (73 nucleotides) under Marmota monax (woodchuck). Its description in RNAcentral is "tRNA.Ala". It matches the Rfam family "tRNA". Rfam says of the family: Transfer RNA (tRNA) molecules are approximately 80 nucleotides in length. Their secondary structure includes four short double-helical elements and three loops (D, anti-codon, and T loops). Further hydrogen bonds mediate the characteristic L-shaped molecular structure. tRNAs have two regions of fundamental functional importance: the anti-codon, which is responsible for specific mRNA codon recognition, and the 3' end, to which the tRNAs corresponding amino acid is attached (by aminoacyl-tRNA synthetases). tRNAs cope with the degeneracy of the genetic code in two manners: having more than one tRNA (with a specific anti-codon) for a particular amino acid; and 'wobble' base-pairing, i.e. permitting non-standard base-pairing at the 3rd anti-codon position. Lineage: Eukaryota; Metazoa; Chordata; Mammalia; Rodentia; Sciuridae. The record is from RNAcentral.